ACCUACGGGACGCAGCAGUGAGGAAUAUUGGUCAAUGGCCGGGAGGCUGAACCAGCCAAGUCGCGUGAGGGAAGACGGCCCUACGGGUUGUAAACCUCUUUUGUCAGGGAGCAAGGUGCAGGUCGGGACCUGCUGUGAGAGUACCUGAAGAAAAAGCAUCGGCUAACUCCGUGCCAGCAGCCGCGGUAAUACGUAGGGGGCAAGCGUUAUCCGGAUUUACUGGGUGUAAAGGGGGCGCAGACGGCGAUGCAAGCCAGGAGUGAAAGCCCGGGGCCCAACCCCCGGACUGCUCUU
Molecule: ribosomal RNA, 294 nt
Filed under: uncultured bacterium
Lineage: Bacteria
Description: partial 16S ribosomal RNA
Rfam family: Bacterial small subunit ribosomal RNA
Source: RNAcentral